Molecule: long non-coding RNA, 365 nt
Organism: Zea mays
Lineage: Eukaryota; Viridiplantae; Streptophyta; Magnoliopsida; Poales; Poaceae
Exons: 3
Source: RefSeq, a predicted model, not a curated record
CAAUACUAUAAGAUCAAUGGCACCAUCUACACUUAACCAACAUAGGUCGGUUGCAGCCCUACAUCACGUCCCUACAAAGUUUCCUUUCGUGUUAUUUGAUGACGUUGAGAGCGAUGACUUACCAAAAUUUAAGAGUAUCGUAGCCAGAAUCGUUGUUAAGUUCCCUAGACGUCAUGACAGCCAACAUUUUAUUCUACAAGACAUCACUGGGUCAAAAAUAGAAGCAAUUUCAUACCGCGAUAAUGUCCAAAGAUUUGACACCUUACUCCAACAAGGAUCUACAUAUACAUUAUAUGGAGUGGCGUUCUAUGUAAGCUGGGGGCCGUAUCUAUUUCGGAAUUUUGGACAUAGGCUAGAAUUGACCU